AGGCAGGUCCAGAACAAGGUGACGUCUGCCCUGACAUUUCUAAAGCCACCUUUCCUGGGAAGUCUGCUUCAGACUGGUUCUUGCUGCUCUCUGCCCUCAACAUUGGAAGACACAGCUGCACACUCAGGUGGUGGUGUGUGAACAGGGCCAAAAAAGAAGAACCUACUGUUUCACAUAUUGGCACUGCAGCCAGGAGUUUGCCUCGAUGGUCCUGAUGGGUCCAUUCCAAGUCAGCAUAUUCUGUGAUUCUAAGGGGCCAGUUGUGGCACAGGUCGCAGACACAGGGGACAGGAUGUGCUGCCUGCAGCUCACAGGAGGGCAGGGAGCUAAAACGCUGCCACCUUCAGAGCGGGACCCCUGGACAAACUGCCACGUGUCCCACACAGCCCCAGUGCCAGAAUCCACCCGUUCCCUUCUCACACAUCCAGAGGUGCAAGUGACUUCCCGUUUCAUUAGCCCUUCAUUAUUGCCAAAGGGAGCUGUUUCUACGUCACUGGCUCACCCAGAGAAGGUGCAGCAGAGGUGGACCUGGCUCCAGGUGUGGGUGGAAGGGAGCAGCUGUCUGGAGUAGGGACCAUCGGUUGCUCCACUGUGGCACUGGGGGGGUCUGGAUGGAUGAGGAGUGGGACCAACCCUGUGGGGUGCACCCAGACGUGCAGGUAGGAGGUGUUGCUGUCCCUCUUGCAAUGACAGACACUGGAGGCCAGGAAGACACAACUGACGCUGAGAAGGCCAAAGAGGAAAUCAAUUUCCUUCCCUCUUAUUUCAUUCUGUUGAGCCACCAAACUU
Prinia subflava (tawny-flanked prinia) is the source of this 789-nucleotide long non-coding RNA. RefSeq lists it as uncharacterized. Lineage: Eukaryota; Metazoa; Chordata; Aves; Passeriformes; Cisticolidae. The transcript has 3 exons. The record is from RefSeq and is a predicted model, not a curated record.